UCUAUCUACCUCUAUCCCUAUA
Molecule: unclassified non-coding RNA, 22 nt
Filed under: Mus musculus (house mouse)
Lineage: Eukaryota; Metazoa; Chordata; Mammalia; Rodentia; Muridae
Description: oocyte_clustered_small_RNA11945
Source: RNAcentral